Molecule: transfer RNA, 90 nt
Filed under: Escherichia coli P0302293.3
Lineage: Bacteria; Pseudomonadati; Pseudomonadota; Gammaproteobacteria; Enterobacterales; Enterobacteriaceae
Description: tRNA-Ser
Rfam family: tRNA
About the family: Transfer RNA (tRNA) molecules are approximately 80 nucleotides in length. Their secondary structure includes four short double-helical elements and three loops (D, anti-codon, and T loops). Further hydrogen bonds mediate the characteristic L-shaped molecular structure. tRNAs have two regions of fundamental functional importance: the anti-codon, which is responsible for specific mRNA codon recognition, and the 3' end, to which the tRNAs corresponding amino acid is attached (by aminoacyl-tRNA synthetases). tRNAs cope with the degeneracy of the genetic code in two manners: having more than one tRNA (with a specific anti-codon) for a particular amino acid; and 'wobble' base-pairing, i.e. permitting non-standard base-pairing at the 3rd anti-codon position.
Source: RNAcentral
GGUGAGGUGUCCGAGUGGCUGAAGGAGCACGCCUGGAAAGUGUGUAUACGGCAACGUAUCGGGAGCGUUCGAAUCCCCCCCUCACCGCCA